Molecule: non-coding RNA, 83 nt
Organism: Gigaspora rosea
Lineage: Eukaryota; Fungi; Glomeromycota; Glomeromycetes; Diversisporales; Gigasporaceae
Source: the annotation of a GenBank genome assembly
GCCCGGCUGGCGUAAUCGGAUAACGCACCAGACUUCUAUAUGGCGCAAUCUGGGGAUUGCGGGUUCGAGUCCCGCGUCGGGUA